AGACACACACGAGGUGCGCAAGAAAGCCGGAUGGCUAGCAUAUGUGGUGUUUGAUACUCAGUGCUACGUUACUGUAGUAUGAAAAUCUCGAUUCUCCAGAAAGGUGCUUUACUGGAACUGGAUCGUUGAGAACGUGGAGAGGAAACAGAAGCAUGAGAGGCCUUCACCCAGACAGCCCUCGUUUUCCAUCCCCCCUAACGAUCCUCCAUCGAUAUCAUUGAGAACCAGCGACAGAAUUAAUGAAUGAACAGAAAUAAACUUCCAGAAUCCCUGUGUUUGAGAGAGCACAGACCUCAGAUCUCAGCAGUCAGCCAUGUAGCGGCCUGUGAACGCACAAAAAAACACACACACACACAUCACCUCCUUUGUUAUUUCAAAGGCAAAACUAAAAAGAAGUAUUGAACAUGUCAUGACAUUCACUGGUAAAUAUGUUUCUAAACGAGCUCUUGACAUAAAAUUGACUCAGAUUUUGGUAAAAACCCAAACAAUCCAAACAUCUGAAAUUAAGUUGUGUAUUAUGAAUGGACUGACACAAAGAGAAAAUACUAAAAUGUAUUUUAUAUUUUUUUCUUUAAAAGCCUUUUUCUUGUUGUAAUGACAGCUUGUAUGGAGAAUCGAGUCACAUGCACUGCUCUUGUGUGAUUUCUUCCCCCAGACCUCAAUAGACUCUGAGGGUCUCGUCUGUUUAAUCUGAUCCUUAGUUCUUAUUUUCUAUUUGAUUCAGGUCAGGUGAUUGGCAGUCAUUAUAGCAGCUUUAUUUUCUUUUCUCAAACCAACUUUCAAGCCAUGUUUUCUUGGCUGCGUUUGGGGUGGUGGUCUUGCUGAAAUGUCCACCUUGGUUUCACCUUCAUCAUCUGUAAUUUAGGUGUUGGGACUGAAGCAGCUAAUAUUCAUUUACACCAGGGGUCACCAAACUUGUUCCUGGAGGGCCGGUGUCCUGCAGAUUUUAGCUCCAACCCUAAUUAAACACAACUGAACAAGCUAAUCAAACUCUUACUAGCUAUACUUGAAACAACCAGGCAGGUGUGUUGAGGCAAGUUGGAGCUAAACCCUGCAGGGAGACCGGCCCUCCAAGACCGAGAUUGGUGACCCAUGAUUUACACUAAUGAAAGGCAGAGGGUUGCUGAAUAACUACUGAGAGAUUUUAGCUGCUGUCUGGGCUUUCCUUAUCUUUUUUACACAUGCCUUUUUUCAUGUGUUCAAUACUUUUCUCUGUGUCAUGUUAUUUACCCUAACUUAAUUUCUAAACGAAUUACCUUUGU
This 1262-nucleotide long non-coding RNA is filed under the name Danio rerio (zebrafish). Its description in RNAcentral is "si:ch211-195c22.3 (ENSDARG00000097856.2)". Lineage: Eukaryota; Metazoa; Chordata; Actinopteri; Cypriniformes; Danionidae. The record is from RNAcentral.